AGCUGGAGGAGCUGAUCCAGGGGGCUCAGUGUGUACACAGCCCCCGUUUUCCUGCCCAGCCCUUGUCCUCAGUGCACCCCUGCUAAGGGGCAAGGAGAAGGCUGACGGGUGGCUCUCUGCAGUACCUGAAGCUGCGGGAGCGAAUGCAGAUACAGAAGGAGAUGGAGCGGCUGCGCUUCCUACUGUCGGAUCAGUCAUUGCUGCUGCUUCCUGAGUACCAUCAGCGAGUAGAGGUGCUCCGAACCCUGGGUUACGUGGACGAGGCGGGCACUGUGAAGCUGGCAGGGCGGGUGGCUUGUGCCAUGAGCAGCCAUGAGUUGCUCCUCACUGAGCUCAUGUUUGACAAUGCACUGAGCACCCUGCGGCCUGAGGAGAUUGCUGCCUUGCUCUCUGGCCUGGUCUGCCAGAGCCCUGGGGACGCUGGGGAUCAGCUCCCAAACACCCUCAAGCAGGGAAUAGAACGUGUCCGGGCUGUGGCCAAGCGGAUUGGUGAGGUCCAGGUGGCUUGUGGCCUGAACCAGACGGUGGAGGAAUUUGUGGGGGAGCUGAAUUUUGGGCUGGUUGAGGUUGUAUAUGAGUGGGCCCGGGGCAUGGUGAGUACCUGAGGUUUGGGAUUUUGCAGACGGCUGGCUGGGGAGAACCUGCCCAGGCUGAGUGCAUCCAGUCCUCACCCUACUUUCCCCACAGCCCUUCUCCGAGUUGGCAGGGCUCUCAGGGACCCCUGAGGGCCUGGUGGUCCGCUGCAUUCAGCGCCUGGCUGAGAUGUGUCGCUCACUGCGGGGGGCAGCCCGCCUGGUAGGAGAGCCUGUGCUGGGUGCCAAGAUGGAGACAGCGGCUACCUUGCUACGGCGGGACAUCGUAUUUGCGGCCAGCCUCUACACCCAGUGAAUGCCCCAUGUAAAAACAUGAUGAUAAAACAGCAAA
This 924-nucleotide unclassified non-coding RNA is filed under the name Homo sapiens (human). RNAcentral describes it as "SKI2 subunit of superkiller complex (ENSG00000206353.11, ENSG00000223493.9, ENSG00000228896.9, ENSG00000232616.9)". Lineage: Eukaryota; Metazoa; Chordata; Mammalia; Primates; Hominidae. The record is from RNAcentral.